Molecule: ribosomal RNA, 456 nt
Filed under: uncultured bacterium
Lineage: Bacteria
Description: bacterial SSU rRNA
Rfam family: Bacterial small subunit ribosomal RNA
Source: RNAcentral
UACGGAAGGCAGCAGUGGGGAAUAUUGCACAAUGGGCGCAAGCCUGAUGCAGCCAUGCCGCGUGUAUGAAGAAGGCCUUCGGGUUGUAAAGUACUUUCAGCGGGGAGGAAGGCGGUGGAGUUAAUAGCUUCACCGAUUGACGUUACCCGCAGAAGAAGCACCGGCUAACUCCGUGCCAGCAGCCGCGGUAAUACGGAGGGUGCAAGCGUUAAUCGGAAUUACUGGGCGUAAAGCGCACGCAGGCGGUCUGUCAAGUCGGAUGUGAAAUCCCCGGGCUUAACCUGGGAACUGCAUUCGAAACUGGCAGGCUAGAGUCUUGUAGAGGGGGUAGAAUUCCAGGUGUAGCGGUGAAAUGCGUAGAGAUCUGGAGGAAUACCGGUGGCGAAGGCGGCCCCUGGGACAAAGACUGACGCUCAGGGUGCGAAAGCGUGGGGAGCAAACAGGGAUUAGGAUACC